GUGUUGGGGCCCCACCGCC
Molecule: unclassified non-coding RNA, 19 nt
Filed under: Chlamydomonas reinhardtii
Lineage: Eukaryota; Viridiplantae; Chlorophyta; Chlorophyceae; Chlamydomonadales; Chlamydomonadaceae
Description: small RNA Cre_2079
Source: RNAcentral